RNAcentral lists this ribosomal RNA (467 nucleotides) under uncultured bacterium. RNAcentral describes it as "partial 16S ribosomal RNA". It matches the Rfam family "Bacterial small subunit ribosomal RNA", at positions 28 to 507 of the family's 1533-position model. The record is from RNAcentral.
GACGAACGCUGGCGGCGUGCUUAACACAUGCAAGUCGAACGGAAAGGCCUCUUUCGGGGGGUACUCGAGUGGCGAACGGGUGAGUAACACGUGAGUAACCUGCCCUUGACUUUGGGAUAACUUCAGGAAACUGGGGCUAAUACCGGAUAGGAGCUCCUGCUGCACGGUGGGGGUUGGAAAGUUUCGGCGGUUGGGGAUGGACUCGCGGCUUAUCAGCUUGUUGGUGGGGUAGUGGCUUACCAAGGCUUUGACGGGUAGCCGGCCUGAGAGGGUGACCGGCCACAUUGGGGCUGAGGUACGGCCCAGACUCCUACGGGAGGCAGCAGUGGGGAAUAUUGCAAAAUGGGUGGAAGCCUGAUGCAGCAAAGCCGUGUGCGGGAUGACGGCCUUCGGGUUGUAAACCGCUUUCGCUCAUGACGAAGCUUUGUGUGACGGUAGUGGGUAAAGAAGCACCGGCUAACUACGUG